GACGAACCGUGCGACCGUUAUUCGGAAUCACUGGGCUUAAAGCGCGUGUAGGCGGGAGGGCACGUCCGUCGCUGAAAUCCCCCGGCUCAACCGGGGAACGGGCGCGGAUACGACCUUCCUGGAGGGGCGUAGGGGGACCUGGAACUUCCGGUGGAGCGGUGAAAUGCGUAGAUAUCGUAAGGAAGACCAGUGGCGAAGGCGGGUCUCGGGACAGUUCCUGACGCUGAGGCACGAAGGUCAGGGGAGCAAACGGG
This 254-nucleotide ribosomal RNA is filed under the name uncultured bacterium. RNAcentral's name for it is "partial 16S ribosomal RNA". It matches the Rfam family "Bacterial small subunit ribosomal RNA", at positions 524 to 776 of the family's 1533-position model. The record is from RNAcentral.